CGUCUUUUUCUAAAGAGCCCCUGGAAGAUUCAAAUCUCAACCCGCGGUCCUUGGCGUCAUCUGGGAAAGGUGUUUCUUAAUUUUGAAAGCGUAUUUUCUCUCGGCUCAGUUCUAAAUACGUUUUCACUAUUUACAGUUCUGCCACUGGUUUUAAUUUGCUUAUAACAUAUUCAUUUUAAUUCCGAUUUGACCCAUUCAAAUUGCGUUGCGUUCGUAUUCGAAAGAUCUACAUGUUAGUAUACUUAAUUCACCAGUUUGAAACUUUCUAUUUUAGUGAUAUUAUUUAAUUAGUUUCUUAUCUACCAGAAAUCUUAGAAAAAUUAUAACUUCUACGUUUUAACUCCGAUUUUCGUGAACUUUACGUUUAUAUGAUCGUAGCGCUGCGUAGAACAUUUUUAUAAACUUUUAUAUUUGUUUUACCACUGUUUGGUGUAUUGUUCUAAUUAUAGUUUGUCUGCUUCUUGUAUGGUUGUCUACAUUGGAUUGCGUGUUGUUGAUUGAUGAUUGUGAUUAGACGGUGAGCCGUACGUUGGUGAUCAAGAUCAAGCCUUUGAAGACCAGCAGGCUCAGGAGAGCUUUGAUCAAGGCAAGUAUAACUGGAGAUCAUCCUUGUUACCUAUACACCAUUAAUACAAUAUUUAUCAUUUGCAUGUGUCCACCUUGAUGACCUUAGCAAAAAUCAUAGAUGAAUGUUAUCCUGAAUUCCUUGAUACCUAUUUAGAUAUGCAUUUGGGUAGUUCUUGCUAGUGCUUGAUUAUAAUCCAUGAUCUUGUAACAUGAAUAUUUGAAUAUACAAUAAACAAUAAAAUAAGCUUUCCAGCAACUUGAACAUAAAGGGUGGAAAGAACUCUGGCUUUUGCUAGAUUGAUCUUGACCCUCCAUAAGGACUUAUCCCUUGGCAAAAGCUGGGACAACUCGUACAACCAUGAGGGCUACAUGGCUCUGGUUUUAGCUCAGUAUGAGGAUCUUUUUCUAGCUUGUUAGCGGUUACCUUAAAUGGCGUAAGAAUGGCAAGACACGUUGGGUAUAGUGUGGCCUCUGUCCAUGUGUAUAGGCUGCGGGUUAUGUGCCAUGGAAGGGGGGCUCUAUAUCUGCCUGCCGAGUGAAUCUAAUGGCCCUAACUUGUUAGACGAAACCUUUGAAAGGCUUCAUAGUGAUCCCUGCCGACCUCCCUAGGAAGGGGGUUAAGAGACUUGCAACCUCGAGCGAAAGGGUAAAUCACGACUCAUGGGUAAAGAUGUACAACCUCUGCAGAGUGUUAAAUCUGGUAUACUAGCCGUGCCCACGGAUACGGGCGGCCCGGAAAACUGACGGAAUAGACGGACACUGAUGAAUAUGAUUAAUGAUAAUAAAUGAUGGUUUAUUAUGUUGUUUAUAUGUGUUAUUCAUAAUUCUUGUAUACAUUGAUCUUGUGAUUAUGGGAUUAAUUAUGCUACCUUGAUAAUUGCAAUCCAAUAAUUAAAUAUGCUAUCUACAUAUAAAAGCUAAAUGCAGUCAAACCAGUGUCAGCUAUUUGAGCCUCAUGAACCUCUGGUUAUACUUGUUGAGUACGAUAUGUGCUCACUCUUGCAAUUUCCCCCUCACCUCAGGAGAAGUUUUGGGCUUGUGAUCAACUAGUCAGUUGGAUCCUGUAGAGAGAAGUUAAUACCCGAAGUUUAGAGUUGUUUAUCCGCUGUUUGCUAUCAAAGGUUAUCUCUUUUAUACUAAGUACGUUAUAUAUUUAUGCAUUGUCUUUUGAUAUUACCCUUUAUUUGUAGCUAUAUGUGAGAUUUGACCUCUAAAACUCACAUAUGGUGCAUAUCUGGUUUUGUCCUUAAAAUCGGGUAUUACAAAUUGGUAUCAGAGCAAUGCUGACUGUAGAACGCAAGCCUGGUUAGAAAUUGGUCAUCUUAAGGUUUCGGAAUUGUCAUAAAAUCCUUGCUCUAUAAACCUUGGUAUUUUCAUCCAUACUACAUCCCUAUCCUUGCUAUUUGUCUCUACCUUGGUGCUUAUUUUAAACAAAUCUUUGUUCUCAUCUUCACUCCUUGAUUUGGUAUGCUAUUAGAACCUUUUCUUACCACCUUCUUGCGUCUUUGAAACAUCAGCUUUAGGAUCUUUGCCCUUUCUAUGAAGAGAACGAUAGUACGGUAAGUUGAGUCAAUGCUUGGAGUGUGAACCUUUGAUGCUUAGUUUGGUUUGUUAUUAUGCUCAUGCUUGAUUUGGAUCUUUGUAAUGAGUGUAAUGAUCUUGUGGAUUUUCUCUACAAUUUCAUUUAGUCUAUAGGCCUAAGGCAUAAGGAUUAAUGAGCUAAAUAGAUGGGUUUGGUUAAAAUUCUGUUUCUGUCCUUUGUUGUUUUCUGGAGUAGUCUGCAAUAAAUCUGGUACAUCUCAAAAUCUGUUCGUGCAAUGUUCAUCAAAUUUCUCUGGGAGCAACUAGACUUCAAGAUCUUUCUCUGAUCUCAAGAAUCACCCCCGUAUCUAUUUUGAUAUUGGAGUUAUGAAAAUCACAAGAUGAUACAGUGUGCUGUCAAAAAAAAAAACUGGACCAGUUUCGGUUAUUUACUCUUUGAGACAAAUGUAACUAUAGAAUUUGGAAAAGUGAUCUAAAGAAAAGUUGUAGACAAUGUGCUAAGCUUUCUAACGGUAUAAGCUGGAACUCAUUUGGAUAAGUAGAACCCGAGAUAUAAUAUUUACAAUUGGAUGUCUCUGUUCUGUUUCCAAAAUCUGGACAGAUCUGGUAUUUCCCAUUUUCAGCCAAGUUAAAGACAGAAUCUGGGAAAAAGUUGUAGACGGAAGUUGUAUAGGAUUUUCUAAGCUUUUCAAAUAUGUAAGGAUUGUCAUCAUAUGAUUUCUAUGGCUCAUGAUAUGACUGUUUCAAGAUGCUGUGUCUGUGUUGUCAGACUUCCUGGACAGAUUUUAUGUUGGAUUAUCAAACCUUAUUUUAACGUCCGAAUAUGGGGAAGUGAUCAACAAGAAAGUUGUGGAGAAUUUGAUAAGCUUUUCAGCAGUAUAGACCAUAACUCUAUCACGUUGACGGGACAUGAGUUGUAGCUGGUUUACUAAGUUGCUGUUUUUCAUCUCGCGAGGAAUUUCUGAUUACUUGUUCUUGUCUAAGUACAUGAGUUCUCUUGGAUAUCAGAAGCUCUUUUAUGGUAGUUAACCUACUCAUAAGAAUGUUCAAGCCAUCCUUGGUAUCCCCUAGCUGAUCUCAUCUUAAGGGGGGUAGCCAAGCUAUAGAAGUUGCAAGACAAAGGUUUUAUGUGUUCAAGUAAUUUAUUUGGAAGAUCUGUUAUUCCUUUGGUGGACAAGUCCCCAUCAACCACAAAUAUCUUUGCUCAAGAUUGGUUACUCUUUGCACCAAUGAGUUCAGGUAUUCAUCAGGAUUUGUCUUCACAUUGAGCUAUUAACAAAUGGAGGUUCAACUUUCAACAUAUCCAAGACAAGUUGACAUUGAUGAUAUUGGAAAGGGAUAUCGAACAUCUACGGAUGAUUCUUCAGAGAGUUAUGAAACCUUAUUAUUACACCGUGCAUGGCUAGUAAGUUUUGAGCGAACUAAGUUCUCUAAUUGAAUAGGUUGUCUCUGGUGGUGGAAUUAUGGAGAAGUAUAUGUCGAUGCCAAAGCUCUUAGCAUAAAGAGUGUGCUAGUAAAAGUUUGGACAACACCUAGAUUUGAGGAUUUGUGUGCGGAAGUUGAGUGAUAUUACUAACACUACAAAUUUGGUAAUUAUUAGGGCUCACUUUGGAAGAAGGAGAAGAAGGAUUGUGAAAUGGGACGAUGAAAGUAAUAAGGAGAAAGUUGAGUAUAUCAUGGUUGGAAAUGCGUCAGGUUUUAAAUGGAUGGGCAAGGAACAUAUACCCCAGAUAAGCUAUCAGUAAAAAGAAAAACCUUAUCUAUACAAAUUGCAUUGCUAAACUCUUGGGAACAAUUGAUGGAGAUGUUCGGAGUGACAAAGGCACUAGAAUGGUUACUAAGAAGGAGCUACUCAAGGAAGGGAAUAAGGUUCAAAAGCGGAGUAUCUACAUCUCUUUGAUCACCAUCUUCCGAAUCUCGAGGACGAGAUUCAUUUUAAGGGGGGUAGAAUUGUAACGCCCUAAAAUUUGCAUCUUUUGAAAUAGAGUUAAAAUGAUUUAAUUUUGUAUUUUUGUGUUCAUGGAAUAUAAAGAAAUAAUAUUUUUCAUUAAAUUAAAAUUUAUUAUAGGAUUUAGCAACUUGUUUGUGCAUUCAAUUUUUGGGGCAUUUGUUUUAUUGAUUGGUGUGGAUUCAGCUAUAGUUCAAAAUAUUUCAAACAGAUUAAAACAGGAUUUUGAAAUAAGUUUGAAAUGGCUUUUAUAUAAAAAAAGAGAAAAGAAAACCUCUCCCUCUCCUCCCUACUCUCCCCGUGGCCCAACUCCUUUCGGCCCAGGUCACAGCCCAAGCUCUGCAGAUGGCCUGCCUCGCGCCCUCCCCUUCUCUUCUUUCCACUGUCGACCGGGCCCCGCCCGUCGGUGUUCCCCUUCCACUUCCAGACACUGACAGUCCGGCCCCACCUGGCAGUGCCUCAUCCCCUCCCAUCUUCUUCCCAGCGACGUGAGCCGCAUGGACUCGGUUGGGACCGAACCCGAUUCCUUGGGAUUCCUUGCCAAGGAAACAAACCGCGCCCUAUAAAGCUUGGUGCUCGCCCUCGCGACCCCCUUUGGCCAUCUAUCGCACCACGGGAAACCCUAGCCACCUUGAGCAUUGAGUUUGGGAUCUCGCCGGCUUCUUUCCCCUCCUCCCCACGCGGCUAUCCUUUCCUGCUCCUUCCCGGACCAAGAAAAGCUACUAUCCAGAUUCGCGGUGAGAUCCUCCUUCGUCCGGUGUUUUCCUUUUGGUUUCUAGUGCUCUGAUUAGCGAGAACGCCAUCUCCGGCGAGGGUCGCCAAUGGCGCCGCCGCGGGGAGCACCGCUCCGGCGAGGUGGCCGGCCGUUUCUUCCCUGGUGAUCGUGGAGCGUCCGAUCGGAGAUCGACGGCUGAAAUUAAAACGUACCCCUUCGCUGCGUCUUUUUCUAAAGAGCCCCUGGAAGAUUCAAAUCUCAACCCGCGGUCCUUGGCGUCAUCUGGGAAAGGUGUUUCUCAAUUUUGAAAGCGUAUUUUCUCUCGGCUCAGUUCUAAAUACGUUUUCACUAUUUACAGUUCUGCCACUGGUAUUAAUUUGCUUAUAACAUAUUCAUUUUAAUUCCGAUUUGACCCAUUCAAAUUGCGUUGCGUUCGUAUUCGAAAGAUCUACAUGUUAGUAUACUUAAUUCACCAGUUUGAAACUUUCUAUUUUCGUGAUAUUAUUUAAUUAAUUUCUUAUCUACAAGAAAUCUUAGAAAAAUUAUAACUUCUACGUUUUAACUCCGAUUUUCGUGAACUUUACGUUGGUAUGAUCGUAGCGCUGCGUAGAACAUUUUUAUAAACUUCUAUAUUUGUUUUAAAACUGUUUGGUGUAUUGUUCUAAUUAUAGUUUGUCUGCUUCGUGUAUGGUUGUCUACAUUGGAUU
This 5479-nucleotide long non-coding RNA is filed under the name Sorghum bicolor (sorghum). RNAcentral describes it as "long non-coding RNA (SBIC_LNC017265)". The record is from RNAcentral. Lineage: Eukaryota; Viridiplantae; Streptophyta; Magnoliopsida; Poales; Poaceae.